AGUGAACGCUGGCGGCAGGCCUAACACAUGCAAGUCGAGCGGCAGCGCGGGGGCAACCCUGGCGGCGAGCGGCGGACGGGUGAGGAAUUCGUCGGAAUCUGCCUUUUUGUGGGGGAUAACGUAGGGAAACUUACGCUAAUACCGCAUACGUCCUACGGGAGAAAGUGGGGGACCGCAAGGCCUCACGCAGAAAGAUGAGCCGACGACCGAUUAGCUAGUUGGUGGGGUAAAGGCCCACCAAGGCGACGAUCGGUAGCUGGUCUGAGAGGAUGAUCAGCCACACUGGGACUGAGACACGGCCCAGACUCCUACGGGAGGCAGCAGUGGGGAAUAUUGGACAAUGGGCGCAAGCCUGAUCCAGCCAUGCCGCGUGUGUGAAGAAGGCCUUCGGGUUGUAAAGCACUUUUGUCCGGAAAGAAAUCCCUGGAGCUAAUACCUUCGGAGGAUGACGGUACCGGAAGAAUAAGCACCGGCUAACUUCGUG
Molecule: ribosomal RNA, 484 nt
Filed under: uncultured bacterium
Lineage: Bacteria
Description: partial 16S ribosomal RNA
Rfam family: Bacterial small subunit ribosomal RNA
Source: RNAcentral